GGGCCCCGGCUGAGGCGGGCGUUGGGCGGGCGCUGCCCUCAGCCACGCGCGGGGCGGGGCCGGCGCCAGGCGCGGCGUGUGCGGAGCUGAGGGCACCGACAGCUCGACCCGGAGGCAGCGCGGGCCGCAGGCAGUGCUACGGGAGGCGACUCCAAGUCUACUUCUGAUGCCUCAGAGUAACAACAGAGAUAUCGGUGCUGUGUUCAGUGUAUUCUUCAAGAAUCAAUGGGAAUCAAAGUGAGAAUUCCACCAUGA
This is a long non-coding RNA of Colius striatus (speckled mousebird), 255 nucleotides long. RefSeq lists it as uncharacterized. The record is from RefSeq and is a predicted model, not a curated record. Lineage: Eukaryota; Metazoa; Chordata; Aves; Coliiformes; Coliidae. The transcript has 2 exons.